UACGUAGGGGGCAAGCGUUGUCCGGAUUCACUGGGUUUAAAGGGUGCGUAGGUGGGCAGGUAAGUCAGUGGUGAAAUCUCCGGGCUUAACCCGGAAACUGCCGUUGAUACUAUUUGUCUUGAAUAUAGUGGAGGUGAGCGGAAUAUGUCAUGUAGCGGUGAAAUGCUUAGAUAUGACAUAGAACAUCGAUUGCGAAGGCAGCUCGCUACACUAUUAUUGACACUGAGGCACGAAAGCGUGGGGAUCAAACAGG
This 253-nucleotide ribosomal RNA is filed under the name uncultured bacterium. RNAcentral's name for it is "partial 16S ribosomal RNA". It matches the Rfam family "Bacterial small subunit ribosomal RNA", at positions 524 to 776 of the family's 1533-position model. The record is from RNAcentral.